RNAcentral lists this unclassified non-coding RNA (336 nucleotides) under soil metagenome. RNAcentral's name for it is "partial contains 5.8S ribosomal RNA, internal transcribed spacer 2, and large subunit ribosomal RNA". The stretch from base 1 to 120 matches the Rfam family "5.8S ribosomal RNA", at positions 35 to 154 of the family's 154-position model. The record is from RNAcentral.
GAUGAAGAACGUAGCGAAAUGCGAUAAGUAAUGUGAAUUGCAGAAUUCAGUGAAUCAUCGAAUCUUUGAACGCACAUUGCGCCCGCCAGUAUUCUGGCGGGCAUGCCUGUUCGAGCGUCAUUUCAACCAUCAAGCCCCCGGCUUGUAUUGGGGACCUGCGGCUGCCGCAGGCCCUGAAAAGCAGUGGCGGGCUCGCUGUCACACCGAGCGUAGUAGCAUACAUCUCGCUCUGGGCGUGCUGCGGGUUCCGGCCGUUAAACCACCUUCAUAACCCAAGGUUGACCUCGGAUCAGGUAGGAAGACCCGCUGAACUUAAGCAUAUCAAUAAGCGGAGGA